UACAGAGGUCUCAAGCGUUGUUCGGAUUCAUUGGGCGUAAAGGGCUCGUAGGCGGUCCAUCGCGUCGGGAGUGAAAAGCUGGGGCUUAACCCCAGUCCUGCUUCCGAUACGGGUGGACUAGAGGUAGGUAGGGGAGAACGGAAUUCCUGGUGUAGCGGUGAAAUGCGCAGAUAUCAGGAGGAACACCGGUGGCGAAGGCGGGUCUCUGGGCCGAUACUGACGCUGAGGAGCGAAAGCGUGGGGAGCGAACAGG
This 253-nucleotide ribosomal RNA is filed under the name uncultured bacterium. Its description in RNAcentral is "partial 16S ribosomal RNA". It matches the Rfam family "Bacterial small subunit ribosomal RNA", at positions 524 to 776 of the family's 1533-position model. The record is from RNAcentral.